RNAcentral lists this ribosomal RNA (614 nucleotides) under uncultured Bacteroidota bacterium. RNAcentral describes it as "bacterial SSU rRNA". It matches the Rfam family "Bacterial small subunit ribosomal RNA", at positions 143 to 757 of the family's 1533-position model. The record is from RNAcentral. Lineage: Bacteria; Pseudomonadati; Bacteroidota.
AUAGCCUUUCGAAAGGAAGAUUAAUACCCCAUAAUAUAUUGAGUGGCACCAUUUGAUAUUGAAAACUCCGGUGGAUAGAGAUGGGCACGCGCAAGAUUAGAUAGUUGGUGAGGUAACGGCCCACCAAGUCAAUGAUCUUUAGGGGGCCUGAGAGGGUGAUCCCCCACACUGGUACUGAGACACGGACCAGACUCCUACGGGAGGCAGCAGUGAGGAAUAUUGGACAAUGGGUUAGCGCCUGAUCCAGCCAUCCCGCGUGAAGGACGACGGCCCUAUGGGUUGUAAACUUCUUUUGUAUAGGGAUAAACCUACUCUCGUGAGAGUAGCUGAAGGUACUAUACGAAUAAGCACCGGCUAACUCCGUGCCAGCAGCCGCGGUAAUACGGAGGGUGCAAGCGUUAUCCGGAUUUAUUGGGUUUAAAGGGUCCGUAGGCGGAUCUGUAAGUCAGUGGUGAAAUCUCACAGCUUAACUGUGAAACUGCCAUUGAUACUGCAGGUCUUGAGUAAAUUUGAAGUGGCUGGAAUAAGUAGUGUAGCGGUGAAAUGCAUAGAUAUUACUUAGAACACCAAUUGCGAAGGCAGGUCACUAAGAUUUAACUGACGCUGAGGACGAA